This 318-nucleotide unclassified non-coding RNA is filed under the name plant metagenome. RNAcentral's name for it is "partial contains 5.8S ribosomal RNA, internal transcribed spacer 2, and large subunit ribosomal RNA". The stretch from base 1 to 105 matches the Rfam family "5.8S ribosomal RNA", at positions 50 to 154 of the family's 154-position model. The record is from RNAcentral.
GAAAUGCGAUAAGUAAUGUGAAUUGCAGAAUUCAGUGAAUCAUCGAAUCUUUGAACGCACAUUGCGCCCGCCAGAAUUCUGGCGGGCAUGCCUGUUCGAGCGUCAUUUCAACCCUCGAGCUCCCCUUUCGGGGGGAGCCCGGCGUUGGGGACCCGGCGCUAACAACGCCGGCCCCGAAAUGGAGUGGCGGCCCGUCCGCGGCGACCUCUGCGUAGUAACAACCACUCGCACCGGGACCCGGGCGCGGCCACGCCGUAAAACACCCCCCCUUCCGAAUGUUGACCUCGAAUCAGGUAGGAAUACCCGCUGAACUUAAGC